Molecule: microRNA, 21 nt
Filed under: Monodelphis domestica (gray short-tailed opossum)
Lineage: Eukaryota; Metazoa; Chordata; Mammalia; Didelphimorphia; Didelphidae
Description: mdo-miR-12320-5p
Source: miRBase by way of RNAcentral
AAGGAGGAUUUUUGGAAUUCC